UACGUAGGGUGCAAGCGUUAAUCGGAAUUACUGGGCGUAAAGCGUACGUAGGCGGCUUUGUAAGUUAGAGGUGAAAGCCCGGGGCUCAACUCCGGAACUGCCUUUAAGACUGCAUCGCUAGAACGUCGGAGAGGUGAGUGGAAUUCCGAGUGUAGAGGUGAAAUUCGUAGAUAUUCGGAAGAACACCAGUGGCGAAGGCGACUCACUGGACGACUGUUGACGCUGAGGUACGAAAGCGUGGGGAGCAAACAGG
This 253-nucleotide ribosomal RNA is filed under the name uncultured bacterium. Its description in RNAcentral is "partial 16S ribosomal RNA". It matches the Rfam family "Bacterial small subunit ribosomal RNA", at positions 524 to 776 of the family's 1533-position model. The record is from RNAcentral.